AAUUGAUACUACAACAAAAGGCCCAUUGGGAAAUGGUUUUGCAGCUUUAUUAAUUGGCCUUUCUUCUGCUUCUAAACAAGGUCUUUUUGUACUUCCAGGUGUUAUUGAUGCUGAUUACAAAGGAAUUGUCAAAAUUAUGUUAAAAGUUCCAGCAAAAAGCAGUAGAGAAAGGUUGGGUGGAUUUGGAAGCACUGGUCCUCUCAUGGCAUUUUCUGAAAUGUUGUCAGCUAAAAGACCUACACGACAGGUGGUAUUAUGUAUGAAAGAAAAUGGUGAGAGUGCGAGUGAAAUUCAAUUGCAGGCGGAAAUGAUGAUGGACACAGGUGCAGAUGUUACUAUUGUGCAUCUUUCAGCUUGGCCAGAGUCCUGGCCUCUAGUCAAAUUAACUGAAACACUAUUGGGUGUUGCGGGAGUUACAUCUACUUGGCAGAGUAAAAAUUCUAUUGUCAUUCUAGACCAGGAAGGUAACAAAGCAGUUACUCGUCCAUAUGUGUUAGAUACUCCUUUGUGGUUGCUAGGCUGUGAUGUUCUUAGCCAAUGGAAAAUGGUCCUUACUGUACAGCCUUUUUAGGAGCGGCCACUGAGAAAAUAGGUGCUCACUCUUGUAUUAAAUUAUCCUGGAAAUCUGAUGACCCUGUAUGGGUAGCUCAGUGGCCAUUGCCAAAUCAAAAGCUAGAGCACCUUCAAGAAUUAGUACAGGAACAGAUGGAACAAGGACAUAUUCGGCCUUCUCACAGCCCUUGGAAUACACCUGUGUUUGUGAUUCAAAAGAAGUCAGGAAAAUGGAGAUUUUUGCAUGAUUUGAGAGCAGUAAAUGACCAAAUGCAAGCACUCGGAGCUUUACAACCUGGCCUUCCCUCUCCUAGUGCCAUCCCAAAAAAUUAUCAUUUGUUUAUAGUAGAUAUAAAGGAUUGUUUUUUCAGCAUACCAUUACAUCCAGAUGAUACCUGUAGGUUUGCCUUUUCAGUACCUUCUGUAAAUAAUAGUCAUCCUGCAAAACGAUAUGAGUGGGUUGUCCUUCCACAAGGAAUGAAGAAUAGUCCUACUAUUUGUCAGUGGUAUGUUG
This is a long non-coding RNA of Oenanthe melanoleuca, 1066 nucleotides long. RefSeq lists it as uncharacterized. NCBI's taxonomy places the organism in Eukaryota, Metazoa, Chordata, Aves, Passeriformes, Muscicapidae. The transcript is spliced from 2 exons. The record is from RefSeq and is a predicted model, not a curated record.